Molecule: unclassified non-coding RNA, 208 nt
Filed under: uncultured Entoloma
Lineage: Eukaryota; Fungi; Basidiomycota; Agaricomycetes; Agaricales; Entolomataceae
Description: sequence contains ITS2
Source: RNAcentral
AAAUUUCAACCUCUUUCUUUUCUUUUGAAAAGUAAAGGCGGCUUGGACUGUUGGAAGUUGCUGGCCUUGCAUAAGUUCAGCUCUUCUCAAACCUAUUAGCACGAUUGCUUCUGGUUAAUCCAUUGGUAUGAUAAUUAUCUAUGCCUUUCGGAAUUUCUGGACAAUGGCGUUGUGCUUCCAAUUGUCUGCAAAGACAGUUUUUGAACAA